RNAcentral lists this non-coding RNA (22 nucleotides) under Arabidopsis thaliana (thale cress). The record is from RNAcentral. Lineage: Eukaryota; Viridiplantae; Streptophyta; Magnoliopsida; Brassicales; Brassicaceae.
UCAGGUGAUGAGGUAAUACUGC